This 424-nucleotide ribosomal RNA is filed under the name uncultured Mogibacterium sp. RNAcentral's name for it is "bacterial SSU rRNA". It matches the Rfam family "Bacterial small subunit ribosomal RNA", at positions 355 to 794 of the family's 1533-position model. Lineage: Bacteria; Bacillati; Bacillota; Clostridia; Peptostreptococcales; Anaerovoracaceae. The record is from RNAcentral.
UAGGGAAUCUUGCACAAUGGGCGAAAGCCUGAUGCAGCAACGCCGCGUGAAGGAUGAAGGCCUUCGGGUUGUAAACUUCUGUUCUUAGGGAAGAAGAAAGUGACAGUACCUAAGGAGAAAGCCCCGGCUAACUACGUGCCAGCAGCCGCGGUAAUACGUAGGGGGCAAGCGUUAUCCGGAAUUAUUGGGCGUAAAGAGUGCGUAGGUGGUUAUCUAAGCGUAAGGUUUAAGCGUGCAGCUCAACUGCAUCUCGCCUUGCGAACUGGACUACUUGAGUGCAGGAGGGGAAAGCGGAAUUCCUAGUGUAGCGGUGAAAUGCGUAGAUAUUAGGAGGAACACCAGCGGCGAAGGCGGCUUUCUGGACUGUAACUGACACUGAGGCACGAAAGCGUGGGGAGCAAACAGGAUUAGAUACCCUGGUAGU